This 336-nucleotide ribosomal RNA is filed under the name uncultured bacterium. RNAcentral's name for it is "partial 16S ribosomal RNA". It matches the Rfam family "Bacterial small subunit ribosomal RNA", at positions 338 to 666 of the family's 1533-position model. The record is from RNAcentral.
CCUACGGGCGGCAGCAGUAGGGAAUCUUCCACAAUGGGCGAAAGCCUGAUGGAGCAACGCCGCGUGGAUGAAGAAGGUCUUCGGAUCGUAAAACCCUGUUGUUAGAGAAGAAAGUGCGUGAGAGUAACUGUUCACGUUUCGACGGUAUCUAACCAGAAAGCCACGGCUUACUACGUGCCAGCAGCCGCGGUAAUACGUAGGUGGCAAGCGUUAUCCGGUUAUAUUGUGCGGAAAGGGAACGCGGGCGUUCUUUUAAGUCUGAUGGGAAAGUUUUCGUCUUAACCGGCGUAGUGCAUUGGAGACUGGGAGACUUGAGUGCAGAAGAGGAGAGUGGAA